Molecule: long non-coding RNA, 645 nt
Organism: Theobroma umbraticum
Lineage: Eukaryota; Viridiplantae; Streptophyta; Magnoliopsida; Malvales; Malvaceae
Source: RefSeq, a predicted model, not a curated record
CCUUAAAUUUUCCUCUUUGCAGGUCUAUUCUUCGGACGUAUGCUCAUGAUGAUGUAAGUGCAGGGUCAUGGUUUAUUGGGCUUGAUGUGAAGCAUGUUGAUGAGGGGAAGCUUUGCUGCUCGUCCUGGUCAACAGGUUCGAUAUGUGCAGCUGUCUGAUGUGACUAACGUGAUUUAUUUCAUCACCAUUGAUAUACAUAUAUAGUGAGGCCAUUGUUUUCCUGCAUCAUCCGGGAUGCUGUUUUGGUAUGAACUCAGAGCUUAAGCAUUAUUUCCUGGACAAUGAUCUGGAGUGUGGAAUCGCCAAAUUGUUGACAUCAGAGUUUUCAGUCAGAAUUGAUUCCUUAAUUCAAUCCUCGUUCUUCCAAGUUCCAACAGCUGUAGAUGCAAGCAACAUACUCAUCAUUUUUAAAAAUUCAGGCACAAAAGUUUUUCCUGCCAGUGAUGUACAUAGCUUCAUUCUUAAAUUUGAUUGACAAAUUUUCAAUUUUUCAGACAAAAAAUGAAGAGUUUUCUCAGCAGUUUUUGUUUGCAGAGUCAAGAAUUUCAGAUUAUUGAUAAGAAAUUGGCUCUCAUACUCUCAUCAUGUGAAAGACAUUAACAAGAAGGUAGUAGUUGUUUUGCAAUAGAAAAAGCAUUUACCCAA